Molecule: ribosomal RNA, 491 nt
Filed under: uncultured bacterium
Lineage: Bacteria
Description: partial 16S ribosomal RNA
Rfam family: Bacterial small subunit ribosomal RNA
Source: RNAcentral
AGUGAACGCUGGCGGUAGGCCUAACACAUGCAAGUCGAACGGCAGCACAGUAAGAGCUUGCUCUUACGGGUGGCGAGUGGCGGACGGGUGAGGAAUACAUCGGAAUCUACUUUUUCGUGGGGGAUAACGUAGGGAAACUUACGCUAAUACCGCAUACGACCUACGGGUGAAAGCAGGGGAUCUUCUGACCUUGCGCGAUUGAAUGAGCCGAUGUCGGAUUAGCUAGUUGGCGGGGUAAAGGCCCACCAAGGCGACGAUCCGUAGCUGGUCUGAGAGGAUGAUAGGCCAAACUGGACAUGAGACAGGGGCAAGACCCAUACGGGAGGAAGCAGGGGGGAAUUUUGAACAAGGGGUGAAAGCCUGAUCCACCCAUGACGGGUGGGUAAAGAAGGCCUGUGGGUUGUAAAGCCCUUUUGUUGGAAAAAAAAAGCAGAAGGUUAAUACCCCGGUGUUCUGACGGUACCAAAAGAAUAAGCACCGGCUAACUGCGU